RNAcentral lists this ribosomal RNA (305 nucleotides) under uncultured bacterium. RNAcentral's name for it is "bacterial SSU rRNA". It matches the Rfam family "Bacterial small subunit ribosomal RNA", at positions 337 to 639 of the family's 1533-position model. The record is from RNAcentral.
GCCUACGGGGCGCAGCAGUGAGGAAUAUUGGUCAAUGGCCGGAAGGCUGAACCAGCCAAGUCGCGUGAGGGAAUAAGGCCCUAUGGGUCGUAAACCUCUUUUGUCAGGGAGCAAAGGCGUCCACGUGUGGACGAGAGGAGAGUACCUGAAGAAAAAGCAUCGGCUAACUCCGUGCCAGCAGCCGCGGUAAUACGGAGGAUGCGAGCGUUAUCCGGAUUUAUUGGGUUUAAAGGGUGCGUAGGCGGUCCGUUAAGUCAGCGGUAAAAUUGCGGGGCUCAACCCUGUCGAGCCGUUGAAACUGGCAG